RNAcentral lists this long non-coding RNA (1894 nucleotides) under Ananas comosus (pineapple). RNAcentral's name for it is "long non-coding RNA (ACOM_LNC015849)". The record is from RNAcentral. Lineage: Eukaryota; Viridiplantae; Streptophyta; Magnoliopsida; Poales; Bromeliaceae.
UAUAUAUAUAUAUAUAUAGUCCGAUUACUAUACUCUUAUGAGUACUAUCGUCUUCGUACUUAUAAAUUAUUUUUAAUGAUAGAGCUUCCAAAUCAACGAUUCAUACCGUUAAACAUUAUCUAGAACAUUUAAAAUUUCUAGAAAUCAAAUUUUAUAAAUUUUCGAUAUCAUUUACCUUACGAUCAAAAGCUCACAAAAUUGAUAAUUUUUAACGACCGGUAUGAAAUUCUUGCUAGUUUAAUGGUGUAAAAGAAUCAAAAUAGGUUUAAUUUUUAUAGAAAAUUCUAUUCACUACCUAGAUAAAGAUCAAUAACUCCGAUCUUAAAUUGAAGGAUCCGAUCAUCCAUUUUAGGAUGUCGUUCGAUUUUAAUUAUUCAUUUUAUACCCGCUUGAUGGACUUUAUAAUAAUUUUAAAAAAUUGCAAAAUUUAUUUUCUAGAAGUUUCAAAUAUUGUAGAUCAUGUUUAACGGUAUGGAUCAUUGAUUCGUAAGUCCCAACAUCGAAAACAACUUAUGAGUACAAAGUGCUCUAUACUCAUAAGAGUAUAGUAGCCCUACUCUCUCUCUCUCUCUCUCUCUCUCUCUCUCUCUCUAUAUAUAUAUAUAUAUAUAUAUAUAUAUAUAUAGGCCAUGGCUACUAUACUAUUAUGAGUAUUGGAGCCCUCGUACUCAUAAGUUGUUUUCGAUGAUGGAGUUUCCGAAUCGAUGAUCCACUCCGUUAAAUAUGAUCUAGAGUAUUUGAAAUUUCUAAAAAAUAAAUUUCGUAAAUUUUCGAAAUCAUAAUAAAGUCCAUCAAACGGGCAUAAAAUGAACGGUCAAAACUGAACGACAUCCUAAAAAAGGAUGAUCAGAUCCUUCAAUUCAAGAUCGGAGUUAUUGAUUUUUAUCUAGGUAGUGAAUAGAAUUUUCUAUCAAAAAUUCAAUAAAUUUCGAUUCUUUUACACCGUUAAACUAGCAAGUAUUCUAUACCGGUCUUUAAAAAUUGUCAAAUUUGUGACAUCUUGAUCGUAAGGUAAAUGAUCUCGAAAAAUUAUAAAAUUUGAUUUAUAGAAGUUUUAAAUGCUGUAAAUAACGUUUAACGGUAUGAAUCGUCGAUUCGAAAGCUCUAUCAUCGAAAACGACUUAUGAGUACGAAGGCGAUCGUACUCAUAAUAGUAUAGUAGCCGGACCCUAUAUAUAUAUAUAUAUAUAUAUCCCCUUGAAAGUGCAGCUUAUUGAGAAGAUGCUCUUACUUAAGUUGGGGAGUCAUCCAACAUGUGGGGAANGAUCAAACGCUAUUUUCAUCUAUCACCACCUACCAUUAUCAUUUCAACCUCACAUCUCCCCAUGCAAUGGCUAAAAACUCAAAAACACCACCUUUAUGGUGCUUUUGAAAGUAUUCUAAUUCAACUCUCUCUCUCUCUCUCUCUCUCUCUCUCUCUCUAUAUAUAUAUAUAUAUAUAUAUAUAUAUAUAUAGUUGAGCUAGAACACUUCCAAAAGCACCAAAGAGGUGGUGCUUUUGAGUUUUCAGCUUUUAGAUGAAAAAUGUAAGGUUGGGAUGAUAGUGGUAGGUAUAUAUAGUUGAGCUAGAAUACUUCCAAAAGCACCAAAGAUGUGAUGCUUUUAAGUUUUUAGCUUUUGGAUGAAGAAAUGUAAGAUUGGGAUGAUAGUGGUAGCCUGAAGGUGCAAUAGUGUUUGAUUCAGGGGCUACUAGUAAUGAAGAAGUAGAUCCAAGAGUUAGAAACCUAGAAGCAUCAAGGGAGUAAUACUUCUAAAAGUAUUCUAGCUCAAUUAUAUAUAUAUAUAUAUAUAUAUAUAUAUAUAUAGUCCGGCUAUAAUACUAUCGUUAGCACCAAACACUUUGUGCUAUCAAGUUUUCUACUAUUAGAUCAACCUUUUUGACCAACUUUAUUUA